Molecule: ribosomal RNA, 481 nt
Filed under: uncultured bacterium
Lineage: Bacteria
Description: partial 16S ribosomal RNA
Rfam family: Bacterial small subunit ribosomal RNA
Source: RNAcentral
GAUGAACGCUGGCGGCGUGCUUAACACAUGCGAGUCGAACGAAGCACUUUAUUUGAUUUCCUUCGGGACUGAUUAUUUUGUGACUGAGUGGCGGACGGGUGAGUAACGCGUGGGUAACCUGCCUUGUACAGGGGGAUAACAGUUGGAAACGGCUGCUAAUACCGCAUAAGCGCACAGCAUCGCAUGAUGCAGUGUGAAAAACUCCGGUGGUAUAAGAUGGACCCGCGUUGGAUUAGCUAGUUGGUGAGGUAACGGCCCACCAAGGCGACGAUCCAUAGCCGACCUGGGAGGGUGACCGGCCACAUUGGGACUGAGACACGGCCCAAACUCCUACGGGAGGCAGCAGUGGGGAAUAUUGCACAAUGGGCGAAAGCCUGAUGCAGCGACGCCGCGUGAGCGAAGAAGUAUUUCGGUAUGUAAAGCUCUAUCAGCAGGGAAGAUAAUGACGGUACCUGACUAAGAAGCACCGGCUAAAUACGUG